Molecule: ribosomal RNA, 509 nt
Filed under: Scaptomyza apicata
Lineage: Eukaryota; Metazoa; Arthropoda; Insecta; Diptera; Drosophilidae
Description: partial 16S ribosomal RNA
Rfam family: Bacterial large subunit ribosomal RNA
Source: RNAcentral
GUCUUUUUGAAAUUAAUUUAAAGUCUAACCUGCCCACUGAAGAUUUAAAUGGCCGCAGUAUUCUAACUGUGCAAAGGUAGCAUAAUCAUUAGUCUUUUAAUUGAAGGCUGGAAUGAAUGGUUGGACGAAAUAUUAACUGUUUCAUUUGAAUUUUUUAUAGAAUUUUAUUUUUUAGUCAAAAAGCUAAAAUUUAUUUAAAAGACGAGAAGACCCUAUAAAUCUUUAUAUUUUGUUUAUUUUAAUUAUAAAGAUUAUUUUUAUUAUAAUAAAUUAAAAUAUUUUAUUGGGGUGAUAUUAAAAUUUAAAAAACUUUUAAUUUUUAAAACCAUUAAUAUAUGAAUAAUUGAUCCAUUAAUAAUGAUUAAAAAUUUAAGUUACUUUAGGGAUAACAGCGUAAUUUUUUUGGAGAGUUCAUAUCGAUAAAAAAGAUUGCGACCUCGAUGUUGGAUUAAGAUAUAAUUUUGGGUGUAGCCGUUCAAAUUUUAAGUCUGUUCGACUUUUAAAUUCUU